Molecule: long non-coding RNA, 213 nt
Filed under: Mytilus galloprovincialis (Mediterranean mussel)
Lineage: Eukaryota; Metazoa; Mollusca; Bivalvia; Mytilida; Mytilidae
Source: RNAcentral
GCGGGUGCGAGUGCUGCCUUGUAGCGGCAUUAGCCUGCUCUUUUUCGAAAUCUACAAGGAUGUCUUUAACGUGCAAGAGAUAUGGCUCUCUCUUAACACGGCUCAGCCAUUUAUAGUCCCCUUCCGACGGACUAUCAUCGUUUCCUCAAGACCAUACUCGCAAAUGGUGUCAAGGGAGCGCCGAAAAUUCAGUCCCUGAAAUUUUCAUCCCAG